ACCUGCCCAUUGGAAUCUAAAAGGCCGCGGUAUUAUGACCGUGCUAAGGUAGCAUAAUCAUUAGUCUUUUAAUUGGAGGCUGGUAUGAAUGGUUGGACAAGAAAUAAGCUGUCUUAAAUAAAAAUAUUGAAUUUAACUUUUAAGUGAAAAGGCUUAAAUUUUCUAAGGGGACGAUAAGACCCUAUAAAACUUUAUAUUUUAAAAUAAUAAUUAAUUUUAUAUAGAAGAUUUAUUUUUAAAUAUUUUAUUGGGGUGAUAAAGAUAAAAUGUGAGAUAACUGUCUUUUUUUUUUUACAAUUAAUAUUUGAGUAAAAGAUCUUAACAAAGGAAAUAAGAGAUUAAGUUACUUUAGGGAUAACAGCGUAAUUUUCUUUAAGAGUUCUUAUCGACAAGAAAGUUUGCGACCUCGAUGUUGAAUUAAAAGUUCUUUAUAGAGUAGAUAUUAUAAUAGAGGGUCUGUUCAACCCUUAAAAUUUUACGUG
This 482-nucleotide ribosomal RNA is filed under the name Pontastacus leptodactylus (narrow-clawed crayfish). RNAcentral describes it as "Astacus leptodactylus (narrow-clawed crayfish) partial large subunit ribosomal RNA". It matches the Rfam family "Bacterial large subunit ribosomal RNA", at positions 1857 to 2602 of the family's 2925-position model. The record is from RNAcentral. Lineage: Eukaryota; Metazoa; Arthropoda; Malacostraca; Decapoda; Astacidae.